UGCCCACUAGGGUCAAGUAUGAGGCCCCAUCUUGGCAAUGGAUUUUAGAGACCACAGACAAGCAAGGGUCUGUGGAGAAGUCUUUCCAUCUGUAGUUUCCAAGGAGUCCUGAGACUUGGAAUCCACUGCUGUGUUUGAAGGGUUUGCGCUGGGUUGAGGAGGAGAGUUUACCUGGACUAUGCUUGUACGGAGGUGUAUGGCAACAACAUAAUAUCGAGACAAAAGCAGAGCCAGAAUUGCUAACCACAGGCCAAGAAAACCAAUGACAUAUCUAGGGGAAACUGGAAAUAUUUACUCCCAAGUAUUAACAGUGAUUACCAUGAAGUGUUGUAAUUAGGAGCAGCUUUAAAUUUUUUUUUUUUUUUUUUUUUUUACUUUUUUUUUUGGAGACAGAGUCUCGCCCUGUCACCCAGGCUGGAGUGCAAUGGCGUGAUCUCGGCCCACUGCAACCUCUGCCUCCCGGGUUCAAAUGAUCCUCUUGCCUCAGCCUCCCGACUAGCUGGGAUUACAGGCACGUGCCACCACGCCAGCUAUUUUUUAUGUGUUUUUAGUAGAGACGGGGUUUCACCAUGUUGGGCAGGCUGGUCUGGAACUCCUGAGCUUGUGAUCCAUCCGCCUCAGCCUCCCAAAGUGCUGGGAUUACAGAUGUGAGCCACCACGCCCGGCCACUUAAUUUUUUUUUUUUAAUGAACAUGUGUAGCUUUUGUGAUCAGAGGAAGAUAAAACAGCUAUGUUUUAUCAAUACCUCUAUGCUUAUUAAAUACCUCAAU
RNAcentral lists this long non-coding RNA (770 nucleotides) under Homo sapiens (human). RNAcentral describes it as "long non-coding RNA NONHSAT211964.1". Lineage: Eukaryota; Metazoa; Chordata; Mammalia; Primates; Hominidae. The record is from RNAcentral.